AUAUAGCUGACGAGUCCCAAAUAGGACGAAACGCGCGUCCUGGAU
Molecule: non-coding RNA, 45 nt
Organism: Schistosoma mansoni
Lineage: Eukaryota; Metazoa; Platyhelminthes; Trematoda; Strigeidida; Schistosomatidae
Source: Rfam